GACGAACGCUGGCGGCGUGCUUAACACAUGCAAGUCGAACGGAAAGGCCCUUCUUUUGUGGGGUGCUCGAGUGGCGAACGGGUGAGUAACACGUGAGUAACCUGCCCUUGACUUUGGGAUAACUUCAGGAAACUGGGGCUAAUACCGGAUAGGAGCUCCUGCUGCAUGGUGGGGGUUGGAAAGUUUCGGCGGUGGGGGAUGGACUCGCGGCUUAUCAGCUUGUUGGUGGGGUAGUGGCUUACCAAGGCUUUGACGGGUAGCCGGCCUGGGAGGGUGACCGGCCACAUUGGGACUGAGAGACGGCCCAGAGUCCUACGGGAGGCAGCAGGGGGGAAGAUUGCACAAUGGGCGGAAGCCUGAUGCAACAACGCCGCGUGCGGGAUGACGGCCUUCGGGUUGUAAACCGCUUUCGCCUGUGACGAAGCGUGAGUGACGGUAAUGGGUAAAGAAGCACCGGCUAACUACGUG
Molecule: ribosomal RNA, 468 nt
Filed under: uncultured bacterium
Lineage: Bacteria
Description: partial 16S ribosomal RNA
Rfam family: Bacterial small subunit ribosomal RNA
Source: RNAcentral